GAUGAACGCUGGCUACAGGCUUAACACAUGCAAGUCGAGGGGAAACGACGGGGAAGCUUGCUUCCCCGGGCGUCGACCGGCGCACGGGUGAGUAACGCGUAUCCAACCUGCCUCUGACUGAGGGAUAACCCGUCGAAAGUCGGCCUAAUACCUCAUGGCAUCGUCUGCGGGCAUCCAACUACGAUUAAAGAUUUCAUCGGUCAGUGGUGGGGAUGCGUCUGCUUAGCUUGUUGGCGGGGUAACGGCCCACCAAAGCUACGAACAGUAGGGGUUCUGAGAGGAAGGCCCCCUAGAACGGAGCCGCGGCACAGUCUACUAUGCUACGCGAGGGAGCAGUGAGGAAUACUGGUGGAGGGGGGGGGGCCUGACACAGCCACGUAGGGUGCAGGAGGACGGCGAUCGGGGUUGUAAGCUGCUUGUGUGCGAGGAUAAAGUGAGGAACGUGGCCUUUAUUGCCGGUACCGAAUGAAUAAGCACCGGCUAACUACGUG
This 491-nucleotide ribosomal RNA is filed under the name uncultured bacterium. Its description in RNAcentral is "partial 16S ribosomal RNA". It matches the Rfam family "Bacterial small subunit ribosomal RNA", at positions 28 to 507 of the family's 1533-position model. The record is from RNAcentral.